Molecule: ribosomal RNA, 427 nt
Filed under: uncultured bacterium
Lineage: Bacteria
Description: partial 16S ribosomal RNA
Rfam family: Bacterial small subunit ribosomal RNA
Source: RNAcentral
UGGGGAAUAUUGGCCAAUGGGCGAAAGCCUGAUCCAGCCAUGCCGCGUGUGUGAAGAAGGUCUUCGGAUUGUAAAGCACUUUAAGUUGGGAGGAAGGGCAUUAACCUAAUACGUUAGUGUUUUGACGUUACCGACAGAAUAAGCACCGGCUAACUCUGUGCCAGCAGCCGCGGUAAUACAGAGGGUGCAAGCGUUAAUCGGAAUUACUGGGCGUAAAGCGCGCGUAGGUGGUUUGUUAAGUUGGAUGUGAAAGCCCCGGGCUCAACCUGGGAACUGCAUCCAAAACUGGCAAGCUAGAGUACGGUAGAGGGUGGUGGAAUUUCCUGUGUAGCGGUGAAAUGCGUAGAUAUAGGAAGGAACACCAGUGGCGAAGGCGACCACCUGGACUGAUACUGACACUGAGGUGCGAAAGCGUGGGGAGCAAACA